This is a non-coding RNA of Tuber magnatum (white Piedmont truffle), 83 nucleotides long. The record is from the annotation of a GenBank genome assembly. NCBI's taxonomy places the organism in Eukaryota, Fungi, Ascomycota, Pezizomycetes, Pezizales, Tuberaceae.
GGUAUGGUGGUGUAGGGGUAUCGUGGGCGCUUGUCAUUCCAUCCAGCUUGCACCCGACCCGGUUUCGACUCCCGGGCGAAUCU